Molecule: long non-coding RNA, 692 nt
Organism: Lethenteron reissneri (Far Eastern brook lamprey)
Lineage: Eukaryota; Metazoa; Chordata; Hyperoartia; Petromyzontiformes; Petromyzontidae
Source: RefSeq, a predicted model, not a curated record
GAGGGCAGUGACGCCGGGCAAGGGGGAUGCUUAAAUAUCAGAGGCGAGGGGAGACGCAGCUACAGCAGCAGUGACAGCCACAGAAGCAGCAGCAGCCACAGCAGCAGCAGCGACAGCAGCUACAGCAGCAGUAAACAUAAUGGGAGCUUCAGGAUCGAGCAGUCCAACCUUGGACGACGUCGGAUUCACCACCAGCGGUGUCCGCAGCGGAUCGUCCGCUUCCGGGUGGCACUCGUCUGAAGCGAAGAGCAGCGGUGGAGGAGUCUCCUCCGGGAGCACCUUUUCCAAGAUCCAGCAGAUGGGUGCUUCCGGGAAAAAAUAAGUGAGAUGGAAGCGUCGCAUCCAACCUGUUGGGUCCAGCAGGCUCCUAUGGAAAGGAUGCAGAUCUCUGUGGUUGACAUUCAAAUACGCAUGCCUAAUCUUCUCAUGAAAAUCGAUGUUUUAUUGGACGCAUCAAUGUGUUAUUGUUUAAAAAAUGGGGGUGAGACAGAUGUUUGAGAACGCCGUGGCGUGAGCCUGGAUAAGUGGAUGGGAAGUGGAUGGGAAGCAGCUGCUGCGGAUUUGUGAUGUGACCUGUGAAGACGGAGGAGGUGAAAACAUCUCGGCAGGGAUUUUGACGAAUGCACUACAUUACUGAAAUCGUGUGGUACUACGAUAUUUUCAAACGUGAAUAAAUCACAAUCUAUCAACGA